UAGAAUUAAUUAAGUCUAAAUAAUUUAAUUUUAAAAAUGGUCUAAAUCUUUAAAUGGGCUACAAUUGCAGUUGACUAGUUUAAUUCAAAUGGCCAUGCUUUACAUUAAUUUUCAGCCGACUACCAAAGGGUUUGGCCGAAGACACCAGCCCAGUAAACCCCCAUCCCUAUCCUACUUGGCGAUCCACGCCACUUACAUUUGACCAAUCACCACACGACACGUCAAACCUUCUAAUUACUCAUAGAGAAAACACAACUCGUCUGGAUCGUUGAUCCAAAUCAUCAACGAUCCACAAUUAAUCCUAAUUUCUCCUUAUUUUAGUAAAUCUCCAGUGUUUUAUCUCAACUGUUGUAUUCAAAUGAUCCAACGGUUCUAGUUUUAUCCCAUUAAAACCCUUUCUUUUCCUUUUAUCCCUAAAAAGCCGGAGCCGUUGAUCAAAGUGAUCCAACAACUCCCAUGCCAUCUCUCAUUUUAACUAUCCGUUCCCCCAAUAUCGUAUUCAAUUCUUCAGAGACCAGCCGCCCCUCUUUCCCUUUCCUCUCUCUCUUUUCUCUCUUCUCCAGAGACCCAUCAAUCUCUGAGACCUUGCACGAAUUCGUGCAAGGUCACUCAAAAUUGAACCAAAAUGCUAAGACCAAAAUGUGCAAGCGAGAAUAUAAUCAUUUCCUCUCCUGGUAGUUCAAAUCAACACAUCCAAGCAGUAGAUUCAUGAGAAUCUUAACUAUAUUAUGAUGAUUCUUAUUCCAGAUGUCAAACACACUGGCCUCUAGACACGGGCUUUGACUGAUGCUCCUUUGGUUCCAACGGCCGAUUUCCUUCAUCAUUUCACGCCAAGGUAACUUCUUUCUGAUCUUCCCCCUGUAUUUUCCCAUAUUUUUUCUCUUUUGCUCCCAUCAGUAACUUAAUCGUCAUCUUUCACUAUCCUUUCAGAUUCAAAUGAACCCUAAGGCUCCAAUGGCCGCUAUAAAUAGGAGCCUUUAAUGUUGUCACUAGACACACUGAGAACAAGAUAAACUAACCAAGGAGCUUAGUAAUACUAUCUUUUUAAAUACUCUAUGUUUUUCUCUAAUUUUUUCUUUCUUUUUUCUACUCGAGUUCGACUACUGUGAGUUCAUUGGGAGAUCAAGCUCCUAAACGGCUAGUGAUUGCCUCUACUUGGUUUGCUGCUCCAAAGAAGGUUGUUGUUUACAUCAAUAUCUCACAAUGGUCAUUGAGUUUUGUUCCUCAACACUUAUUUCCAUUAGGUAUAUGUCUUGACUAAUUGUGUUGAAUAUUAUUGUGAGCUUAAUCUUGUUACCUUACUAUGUUGAUUUGAGUUGAUUAAUCUCUGUGAUAGUAGCUGUGUUUAGCCUAUGCUACUGCAUUGUUGAUUGGAGAGAUGCUUACUACAUUUUAUUCUUUUUCUCACAUUAUCAUGUUGAUUAAAGCUAAUUGAAUGA
Nicotiana attenuata is the source of this 1439-nucleotide long non-coding RNA. RefSeq lists it as uncharacterized. The transcript is spliced from 2 exons. Lineage: Eukaryota; Viridiplantae; Streptophyta; Magnoliopsida; Solanales; Solanaceae. The record is from RefSeq and is a predicted model, not a curated record.